UUAAAGUCUAAUCUGCCCCAUGAGGAAUUAAAUGGCCGCGGUAUUUUGACCGUGCAAAGGUAGCAUAAUAAUUAGUUUUUUAAUUGAAAGCUAGAAUGAAUGAUUGGACGAGAAAGUAACUGUCUCAAUUUAAUUUAAUUAGAAUUUUAUUUUUAAGUAAGAAAGCUUAAAUUUAAUUAAAAGACGAGAAGACCCUAUAGAGUUUUAUAAUUUAUUUAUUAUUAAUUUUUAAGUAUUAUUUUAUCAAUAAUAGAUAGAUUAUUUUAUUGGGGCGAUAGAAAAAUAUAUAUAACUUUUUUUAGUUUAAUAGCAUUAAUUUAUGUUUAAAUGAUCCAUUAUUUAUGAUUAUAAGAUUAAGUUACCUUAGGGAUAACAGCGUAAUUUUUUUUUAGAGUUCCUAUCGAAAGAAAAGAUUGCGACCUCGAUGUUGGAUUAAAAUUAAUUUUUGGUGUAGAAGCUGAAUAAUUGGGUCUGUUCGACCUUUAAAAUUUUACA
RNAcentral lists this ribosomal RNA (495 nucleotides) under Maladera sp. LW1357. RNAcentral describes it as "partial 16S large subunit ribosomal RNA". It matches the Rfam family "Bacterial large subunit ribosomal RNA", at positions 1845 to 2600 of the family's 2925-position model. The record is from RNAcentral. Lineage: Eukaryota; Metazoa; Arthropoda; Insecta; Coleoptera; Scarabaeidae.